AGCGAACGCUGGCGGCAUGCCUAACACAUGCAAGUCGCACGGGGGGGCUUCGGCCUCCCAGUGGCGGACGGGUGAGGAACGCGUAGGGACCUGUCGAGGGGUGGGGGAUAACCGCGGGAAACUGCGGCUAAUACCGCAUGACGCCGCGGCGUGACAGCCGGGGCCAAAGGCGAAAGCCGCCCGCCGAGGGGCCUGCGUCCGAUUAGCUGGUUGGCGGGGUAGCGGCCCACCAAGGCGUCGAUCGGUAGCUGGUCUGAGAGGGUGAUCAGCCACACCGGGACUGAGACACGGCCCGGACUCCUACGGGGGGCAGCAGUGGGGAAUAUUGGACAAUGGGCGCAAGCCUGAUCCAGCAAUGCCGCGUGGGUGAAGAAGGUCUUCGGAUUGUAAAGCCCUUUCGGCGGGGACGAUGGUGACGGUACCCGCAGAAGAAGCCCCGGCUAACUUCGUG
This 451-nucleotide ribosomal RNA is filed under the name uncultured bacterium. RNAcentral's name for it is "partial 16S ribosomal RNA". It matches the Rfam family "Bacterial small subunit ribosomal RNA", at positions 28 to 507 of the family's 1533-position model. The record is from RNAcentral.